RNAcentral lists this ribosomal RNA (208 nucleotides) under uncultured bacterium. RNAcentral's name for it is "partial 16S ribosomal RNA". It matches the Rfam family "Bacterial small subunit ribosomal RNA", at positions 524 to 731 of the family's 1533-position model. The record is from RNAcentral.
UACGUAGGGGGCAAGCGUUGUCCGGAAUCAUUGGGCGUAAAGAGCGCGUAGGCGGCCCUGUAAGUCCGCUGUGAAAGUCAAGGGCUCAACCCUUGAAUGCCGGUGGAUACUGCAGGGCUAGAGUCCGGAAGAGGCGAGUGGAAUUCCUGGUGUAGCGGUGAAAUGCGCAGAUAUCAGGAGGAACACCGAUGGCGAAGGCAGCUCGUGG